UGGUGCAUCGGCUAUUCACAGUGAAGCUACUAUAGUUUGACUGCAUAUUUUCUUGAUCCCUAGCCAUUUGGAUCUUUACCGUAUAUGUUGGCUACGAUGGAUUCAGAUUCGCUAUUAGGAGUAGGAUGCACUUAGAUAGAAUCUAUCGAUCUUGAUAGAAAAAAGAAGUCCUAUGCGAUUUGCGAGAUUGAGUUCAAAAAUUCUUCAGCCAAGGCAAGUAUGAAU
This 225-nucleotide long non-coding RNA is filed under the name Elaeis guineensis (African oil palm). RNAcentral describes it as "long non-coding RNA (EGUI_LNC072015)". Lineage: Eukaryota; Viridiplantae; Streptophyta; Magnoliopsida; Arecales; Arecaceae. The record is from RNAcentral.